RNAcentral lists this ribosomal RNA (252 nucleotides) under uncultured bacterium. Its description in RNAcentral is "partial 16S ribosomal RNA". It matches the Rfam family "Bacterial small subunit ribosomal RNA", at positions 524 to 775 of the family's 1533-position model. The record is from RNAcentral.
UACGUAGGGGGCAAGCGUUGUCCGGAAUCAUUGGGCGUAAAGCGCGUGUAGGCGGCCAGAUAAGUCCGCUGUGAAAACUCGAGGCUCAACUUCGAGCUGUCGGUGGAAACUAUCUGGCUAGAGUCCGGAAGAGGAGAAUGGAAUUCCUGGUGUAGCGGUGAAAUGCGCAGAUAUCAGGAAGAACACCCGUGGCGAAGGCGGUUCUCUGGGACGGUACUGACGCUGAGACGCGAAAGCGUGGGGAGCGAACAG